AUCCUUCUGUGGUUUAUAGUAUGAUGAUUAGGUUUUCACAUCAUGGUGUGACAUGUGCUUCCUUCAGACCUUAUUGCUUAGGUUGGCACAUUACCUGUCUGACA
Molecule: non-coding RNA, 104 nt
Organism: Ictidomys tridecemlineatus (thirteen-lined ground squirrel)
Lineage: Eukaryota; Metazoa; Chordata; Mammalia; Rodentia; Sciuridae
Source: Rfam